This 484-nucleotide ribosomal RNA is filed under the name uncultured bacterium. RNAcentral describes it as "partial 16S ribosomal RNA". It matches the Rfam family "Bacterial small subunit ribosomal RNA", at positions 30 to 507 of the family's 1533-position model. The record is from RNAcentral.
AUUGAACGCUGGCGGCAGGCCUAACACAUGCAAGUCGAGUGGAUGAAGGGAGCUUGCUCCUGGAUUCAGCGGCGGACGGGUGAGUAAUGCCUAGGAAUCUGCCUGGUAGUGGGGGAUAACGUCCGGAAACGGGCGCUAAUACCGCAUACGUCCUGAGGGAGAAAGUGGGGGAUCUUCGGACCUCACGCUAUCAGAUGAGCCUAGGUCGGAUUAGCUAGUUGGUGGGGUAAAGGCCUACCAAGGCGACGAUCCGUAACUGGUCUGAGAGGAUGAUCAGUCACACUGGAACUGAGACACGGUCCAGACUCCUACGGGAGGCAGCAGUGGGGAAUAUUGGACAAUGGGCGAAAGCCUGAUCCAGCCAUGCCGCGUGUGUGAAGAAGGUCUUCGGAUUGUAAAGCACUUUUAGUUGGGAGGAAGGGCAGUAAGUUAAUACCUUGCUGUUUUGACGUUACCAACAGAAUAAGCACCGGCUAACUUCGUG